AUGUAUCUGGAGUUUGAAGCACUCCUGCUACUGAAAAGGUUGAUAUGGCUCAAGCAGCAACGUUUAUUUUACCCAUCAUACAUCAAAAGAAAAGAACAUGCAAUUCAAGGCAGGUUCAGUAAUGAAAAUACGUCAAUAUCAAAUCCAAACAAUAUUGUAAAACUCAAACUGAGGCUUCUCCAUAUGAUUCCAUGUGUGAGGGGCUUUUGA
Molecule: long non-coding RNA, 210 nt
Filed under: Apteryx owenii (little spotted kiwi)
Lineage: Eukaryota; Metazoa; Chordata; Aves; Apterygiformes; Apterygidae
Description: lncRNA (ENSAOWG00000017781.1)
Source: RNAcentral